AGGGUUGUAGCUCUGUGGUGGAGCAUCUGCUUUGCAUGCAGGAGAACCCUAGUUCAAUCACUGGCAUCUCCA
This is a non-coding RNA of Podarcis lilfordi (Lilford's wall lizard), 72 nucleotides long. The record is from the annotation of a GenBank genome assembly. NCBI's taxonomy places the organism in Eukaryota, Metazoa, Chordata, Lepidosauria, Squamata, Lacertidae.